CCUACGGGAGGCAGCAGUGGGGAAUAUUGCGCAAUGGGGGAAACCCUGACGCAGCCAUGCCGCGUGUGUGAAGAAGGCCUUAGGGUUGUAAAGCACUUUCAAUUGGGAGGAAAGGUUGCACGUUAAUAGCGUGUAGCUGUGACGUUACCUUUAGAAGAAGCACCGGCUAACUCCGUGCCAGCAGCCGCGGUAAU
This 194-nucleotide ribosomal RNA is filed under the name uncultured bacterium. RNAcentral's name for it is "partial 16S ribosomal RNA". It matches the Rfam family "Bacterial small subunit ribosomal RNA", at positions 338 to 524 of the family's 1533-position model. The record is from RNAcentral.